CAGUAGCCGCGGUAAUACGAAGGGUGCAAGCGUUACUCGGAAUUACUGGGCGUAAAGCGUGCGUAGGUGGUGGUUUAAGUCCGUUGUGAAAGCCCUGGGCUCAACCUGGGAAUUGCAGUGGAUACUGGGUCACUAGAGUGUGGUAGAGGAUAGUGGAAUUUCCGGUGUAGCGGUGAAAUGCGUAGAGAUCUGGAGGAAUACCGGUGGCGAAGGCGGCCCCCUGGACAAAGACUGACGCUCAGGUGCGAAAGCGUGGGGAGCAAACAGGAUUAGAUACCCCCGUAGUCCCUGUCUCUUAUAC
This 301-nucleotide ribosomal RNA is filed under the name uncultured bacterium. Its description in RNAcentral is "partial 16S ribosomal RNA". It matches the Rfam family "Bacterial small subunit ribosomal RNA", at positions 509 to 807 of the family's 1533-position model. The record is from RNAcentral.